UACGUAGGGUGCAAGCGUUAAUCGGAAUUACUGGGCGUAAAGCGGGCGCAGGCGGUGAUGUAAGACAGUUGUGAAAUCCCCGGGCUCAACCUGGGAACUGCAUCUGUGACUGCAUCGCUGGAGUGCGGCAGAGGGGGAUGGAAUUCCGCGUGUAGCAGUGAAAUGCGUAGAUAUGCGGAGGAACACCGAUGGCGAAGGCAAUCCCCUGGGCCUGCACUGACGCUCAUGCACGAAAGCGUGGGGAGCAAACAGG
RNAcentral lists this ribosomal RNA (253 nucleotides) under uncultured bacterium. RNAcentral describes it as "partial 16S ribosomal RNA". It matches the Rfam family "Bacterial small subunit ribosomal RNA", at positions 524 to 776 of the family's 1533-position model. The record is from RNAcentral.